UGGGGAAUAUUGCACAAUGGGCGCAAGCCUGAUGCAGCCAUGCCGCGUGUGUGAAGAAGGCCUUCGGGUUGUAAAGCACUUUCAGCGGGGAGGAAGGCGUUAAGGUUAAUAACCUUGGCGAUUGACGUUACCCGCAGAAGAAGCACCGGCUAACUCCGUGCCAGCAGCCGCGGUAAUACGGAGGGUGCAAGCGUUAAUCGGAAUUACUGGGCGUAAAGCGCACGCAGGCGGUCUGUCAAGUCGGAUGUGAAAUCCCCGGGCUCAACCUGGGAACUGCAUUCGAAACUGGCAGGCUAGAGUCUUGUAGAAGGGGGAAGAAUUCCAGGUGUCGCGGUGAAAUGCGUAGAGAUCUGUAUGAAUACCGGUGGCGAAUGCGGCCCCCUGGACAAAGACUGACGCUCAGGUACGAAAGCGUGGGGAGCAAACAGG
This 429-nucleotide ribosomal RNA is filed under the name Chloroflexota bacterium. Its description in RNAcentral is "Chloroflexi bacterium partial 16S ribosomal RNA". It matches the Rfam family "Bacterial small subunit ribosomal RNA", at positions 355 to 776 of the family's 1533-position model. Lineage: Bacteria; Bacillati; Chloroflexota. The record is from RNAcentral.